RNAcentral lists this ribosomal RNA (359 nucleotides) under uncultured Thermosynechococcaceae cyanobacterium. Its description in RNAcentral is "bacterial SSU rRNA". It matches the Rfam family "Bacterial small subunit ribosomal RNA", at positions 524 to 881 of the family's 1533-position model. The record is from RNAcentral. Lineage: Bacteria; Bacillati; Cyanobacteriota; Cyanophyceae; Acaryochloridales; Thermosynechococcaceae.
UACGGAGGAUGCAAGCGUUAUCCGGAAUCAUUGGGCGUAAAGCGUCCGCAGGUGGCUUUUCAAGUCUGCUGUCAAAGCCCGGGGCUCAACCCUGGAGAGGCAGUGGAAACUGAGGAGCUAGAGUGCGGUAGGGGCAGAGGGAAUUCCCGGUGUAGCGGUGAAAUGCGUAGAUAUCGGGAAGAACACCAGUGGCGAAAGCGCUCUGCUGGACCGCAACUGACACUCAUGGACGAAAGCUAGGGGAGCGAAUGGGAUUAGAUACCCCAGUAGUCCUAGCCGUAAACGAUGGACACUAGGUGUUGCGCGUAUCGACCCGUGCAGUGCCGUAGCCAACGCGUUAAGUGUCCCGCCUGGGGAGU